AUUGAACGCUGGCGGCAGGCCUAACACAUGCAAGUCGAACGGUAACAGGAAGAAGCUUGCUUCUUUGCUGACGAGUGGCGGACGGGUGAGUAAUGUCUGGGAAACUGCCUGAUGGAGGGGGAUAACUACUGGAAACGGUAGCUAAUACCGCAUAACGUCGCAAGACCAAAGAGGGGGACCUUCGGGCCUCUUGCCAUCGGAUGUGCCCCGAUGGGAUUAGCUAGUAGGUGGGGUAACGGCUCACCUAGGCGACGAUCCCUAGCUGGUCUGAGGGGAUGACCAGCCACACUGGAACUGAGACACGGUCCAGACUCCUACGGGAGGCAGCAGUGGGGAAUAUUGCGCAAUGGGCGCAAGCCUGAUGCAGCCAUGCCGCGUGUAUGAAGAAGGCCUUCGGGUUGUAAAGUACUUUCAGCGGGGAGGAAGGGAGUCAAGUUAAUACCUUUGCUCAUUGACGUUACCCGCAGAAGAAGCACCGGCUAACUCCGUG
Molecule: ribosomal RNA, 490 nt
Filed under: uncultured bacterium
Lineage: Bacteria
Description: partial 16S ribosomal RNA
Rfam family: Bacterial small subunit ribosomal RNA
Source: RNAcentral